GAAAUGCGAUAAGUAAUGUGAAUUGCAGAAUUCAGUGAAACAUCGAAUCUUUGAACGCACAUUGCGCCCGCCAGUAUUCUGGCGGGCAUGCCUGUUCGAGCGUCAUUUCAACCAUCAAGCCCCCGGCUUGUGUUGGGGACCUGCGGCUGCCCGCAGGCCCUGAAAAACAGUGGCGGGCUCGCUGUCACACCGAGCGUAGUAGCAUACAUUCUCGCUCAGGGCGUGCUGCGGGUUCCGGCCGUUAAACGACCUUCAUAACCCAAGGUUGACCUCGGAUCAGGUAGGAAGACCCGCUGAACUUAAGC
This 305-nucleotide unclassified non-coding RNA is filed under the name plant metagenome. Its description in RNAcentral is "partial contains 5.8S ribosomal RNA, internal transcribed spacer 2, and large subunit ribosomal RNA". The stretch from base 1 to 105 matches the Rfam family "5.8S ribosomal RNA", at positions 50 to 154 of the family's 154-position model. The record is from RNAcentral.